Molecule: non-coding RNA, 26 nt
Filed under: Mus musculus (house mouse)
Lineage: Eukaryota; Metazoa; Chordata; Mammalia; Rodentia; Muridae
Source: RNAcentral
UAAAGAAAAUGUGGAGAGUUGAUUGC